This 254-nucleotide ribosomal RNA is filed under the name uncultured bacterium. Its description in RNAcentral is "partial 16S ribosomal RNA". It matches the Rfam family "Bacterial small subunit ribosomal RNA", at positions 524 to 776 of the family's 1533-position model. The record is from RNAcentral.
UACGUAGGGUGCGAGCGUUGUCCGGAAUUAUUGGGCGUAAAGGGCUCGUAGGCGGUUUGUCGCGUCGGGAGUGAAAUCCACUGGCUUAACUGGUGGCUUGCUUUCGAUACGGGCAGACUGGAGGUAUGCAGGGGAGAACGGAAUUCCUGGUGUAGCGGUGAAAUGCGCAGAUAUCAGGAGGAACACCGGUGGCGAAGGCGGUUCUCUGGGCAUGUCCUGACGCUGGAGGAGCGAAAGCAUGGGGAGCGAACAGG